This 390-nucleotide ribosomal RNA is filed under the name uncultured bacterium. RNAcentral's name for it is "bacterial SSU rRNA". It matches the Rfam family "Bacterial small subunit ribosomal RNA", at positions 29 to 405 of the family's 1533-position model. The record is from RNAcentral.
AAUCAACGCUGGCGGCGUGCCUAACACAUGCAAGUCGAACGCGAAAGUGGAGCAAUCCAUGAGUAGAGUGGCAAACGGGUGAGUAACACGUGGGUGACCUGCCUUCGAGUGGGGGAUAACGUCCCGAAAGGGACGCUAAUACCGCAUAACAUCCUGCCUUUGAAGAGGCGGAAAUCAAAGCUGGGGAUCGCAAGACCUAGCGCUUGAAGAGGGGCCCGCGUCCGAUUAGCUAGUUGGUGGGGUAAUGGCUCACCAAGGCAACGAUCGGUAGCCGGCCUGAGAGGGCGGACGGCCACACUGGGACUGAGACACGGCCCAGACUCCUACGGAGGCAGCAGGUGGGGAAUUGUUCGCAAUGGGCGCAAGCCUGACGACGCAACGCCGCGUGGA